GUAGGUGAACCUGCGGAAGGAUCAUUAAAAGAGAUAGGGUCUCACGGCCCGACCUCCAACCCUUUGUUGUUAAAAAAAAACCUGUUGCUUUGGCGGGACCGUCCGUCCCUCGUGGACGGACCGUCGGUCUUCGGCCCGGCGAGCGCCCGCCAGAGUCCAACCAAACUCUUGAUAUAACCAGUCGUCUGAGAAUAAAGAUUUAAUCAAUUAAAACUUUCAACAACGGAUCUCUUGGUUCUG
This 240-nucleotide unclassified non-coding RNA is filed under the name rhizosphere metagenome. Its description in RNAcentral is "partial ribosomal RNA internal transcribed spacer region". The record is from RNAcentral.